Long non-coding RNA from Siniperca chuatsi (mandarin fish), 9053 nucleotides. RefSeq lists it as uncharacterized. The transcript has 3 exons. Lineage: Eukaryota; Metazoa; Chordata; Actinopteri; Centrarchiformes; Sinipercidae. The record is from RefSeq and is a predicted model, not a curated record.
ACUGAUUAAAUGAGAUUUUUAUUUUGUCCAACAUAUUGUUCACAUUAUGUUACACUAUUGUGAGAGGAUUAUCUUUUCUGUUGUUUUGCUCUGCUAGAAACGCCUGUUUUGUUCCGUAUUAGCCAUCUAACCUCAGUCCAAACCAAUAGAAUUUAAAAAGGUUGUUCUUUAUGAUAUAUGGUUGUGACUCAGUCUACAGGUGUAGGUUAAAGGCAGCAGGCUAAAUUUGGUUGAAAACUAAAAGUUUUUUAGACUUCUAUGUCAGAGGUUCCUAACCUUUUUGACGUGUGGCCCUUUAAAAUGAAGCAAUGUCUUCUCUCAAUGUCUGAGCAGUUCAACCAAAACUGAUGUUCCCUGUUGAGACUGUUUCAUUUAAAUAAUCUUUAGAGGCCUGAAGUGAUGAAAUUAUCCAUUAUUUUACAAUUCAAAGCAAAGAUUAGAGGAAAGUCAGAAAAAAAUAUAAUAUCUGCUGAGGAAGACUGUGAGGUGUGGUUUAAAGCUCUGGAAAAAACAGUAAGUGGACCUUGAGUUUGAAGGUCUUGUAAAUAAUCUCACGAGCCCUCAGAUUUUUCCUGGGUUGGGAACCACUGGUCUUGGUUGCAUAUUACAGUUGUUUCAACAGCAUUUGUAUCAGUAUAUUUCAAACUUGGAAAAAAAUAGAAAAAUAGUCAUUUAGAUGCUAUUAAAACAAUGUUUGUAUGUGACCUAGACAUCUCUGACUUAUUAACCAAAUUUAGCCUGGUUUUAACCUAGACAUCUAGACACCUUUUGACCUAAAAAAACACUGAAUCAGUAUUUGCUGUAGUAGAAAACAUCCAGGCACAUAGAUCAAACCAUUGAAACCCAGCCAAUAUUUGACAGAUGAUCAUUUGCAGGUAGAUGUGGCCACGUUCAACCCAAAUAAGCACAGAAUUUUAAAAACAGCAUGGUAACAACAAUUCACAUUAGAACAGCUUAUAUUUACCACUAUCAACACAGUAUGAUAAAACUUUAUUCUAGCUUGCUGCACUACCUGCGUAUUGAAUAAAAGAUCAAAACAAGCACGAUUUCUAUUUGACAGAUAAAAUCACGCUCAACAAAAUUCAUCAUCUUUUUCUACCUACAUUAACCCUUUAGGGCACCUUCUGUGGCCUCUUGAGGGGUGUGAGGGUCCCUUACUGUGUCUGUUAUGAUGUAGAUAUAUAUUCGGGUGAAAGGCAAGGGCACUAUUCACUACCUCAGGAUUAAUGACAACAUCAUUGCCAUUGCCAUGCUGACCAGCCCCAUAUUUCCAUUGGCUGGAUAAAGAGGAGAGGGAAGACAGGGGUGGGAGUGGGGGGAAAUAUGAGCAUCCUGUCGGCAGGAUGAUGGACAGGUCCUCAGUCCAGCUCCCCCAGGUCCCCCCUGUGCUCAUUCUUUACUGGCCUGAGCUGGCUAUCGAGGCAGCGUCUCUGCGGCCAAGGACACAGGGGUGUCAGCAAUGAGUCUGGGUAACAUCGUUCAUCAGGCCGCAUCGGUAAUGGGUAGCUCUCUGUGACAGUGGUCAUCAGGACACAAAAGCAAAAGGGCCCAUAAACAUCACAUGACAGAUGGCUGGGAGGACAGCUUCGGACAGGGAGGGAGGGAUGGAGAGCGAGAGAUAAAGUGAGAUAGAGAGAGAUGGAGAAGGACAGAGGUGGAAGAGAGAUCUCAGACUGGAUUGUUAAGUCUCAUGAAAAGUCUCAAGCGCUGGAUGGUUUAUGAAUGCCCAUGUUCAAUGUCAGCUGUGAAGGGAAACACUGGAAAUCACAGGGGGAACAGUUGCAAUUGAUGUCCAACAAAAACACCAAAAAUGAGUGCAGUCAGUAUCAAAUAGCCCCAGUAAAUCAGCUGAUAUGCUGAAAUGAAUGCAACAUUUUCUGUCCUAUUAUUGCAGUAAAAACACACAUGACUCUAGCCCUUUUGCUCCAGAGAUAAAACAGUUUUCAACAAUAGAUUUUGUUGAAAACAUGAAGAAAGAUUAUUCAGGAUUUUAUUUAAGAACAUUUUAUUUCUCGUACUCAAUUUAGUGAACACAAAUUUGUGUUUUUCCCACUCCCAUCAGUUCAUUUGCUUCCAUGUCAGAUGACUGGCCAAUUAGUGGGUUGAAACCGUUUAACCUCCAGCAUGGCGCAAACGGUUAAACGGGGGGACUGAUAUGAAAGAGGUGUUUGCUUAAAAGCCUGACAUAGAGAGAAAAAAGUUUUGCUUAAAAAGAAAGGAUAAGAGAUUGUUUGAGGAGACAUCUUCAGAGAUUCAAGCCUGCAGUGCAGAUGUGUCAGAAGAUUUCAUCAAAAGGAUGUUUGGCACAACUCCGACUUUGAAGAGUUUGACAAAUAAGCACGCCGAGUUGGCCUGAGGAGGAGGAUGUUUUUAAAUAAAUUACGGUCUAAGCAGUCUGAGGUGGGGUGAAAGUUAAGGAAUAAUUAUGGAGGUGAUAGCAAUGACAGAAUGUGAGAAACAGGUUGUGUGAAAAUGAGGUGAGGGUGAGGGUGUCGAGGGCUGUCGUGGAAGUGACUGCAGAACCAGUUGUAGGUCCCUGUGGAGGGAAGACAAUUGUUGUAUUAGCAACACCUUUGUCACCCCAGGAUGUAUACUUUGUCUUCACGUGUUUACAGGGAAAUCAAGUCCCAAAUGUGAGGUAUCAUCUUCAAAAUACAGGGAAAUGUAGCUCCCUGCCCUCCAAAGUGACGCCGAGGGCCUUGGUGCGUCUUUCUUUGUUUUCUGGAAACAGCCUUGCCCGUCCAUUAAUCGUCAUCCAUCCAUCCUGUGCACCUGUAUAUAAAAGGGAAAUUAGAAUAUCCAUCACUCGAGCACAACGUCAGCGUGAUUGAUGGGUUAGUCACAGGAUCCCCUCCGUUUCCUACCCAAGUCUGUGUUUCAGGAGUGAGAAGUGAACAUUAUCUAGCACCAUGAUCAGAUUUAGUCUGCACAUUUCCAUCUAGGAGAGCAUUUUGAGUGGAUGAUACACAAUCCCUAUGAGGAGGCAGCCAGCAGAAGGUUUAUGGAAAUCUAAUAUCAUAAGGCUUUUUGGUUUGUUAGACUUGUUAUUCAUGGAGUGGGCUGGUGACACUUUUGAUGUAACAGUAUAAGACAAUGUAACGAGGCAGAAUCUCAUUUUGUUGAAGUGUUUCUGUCAAACUCUGGUCUGAAAGAUGAUUGGGAAGAUCUGUGCAAACAGGUUUUGAGUGGGGUGUGCUAAGACUAAAAUACCAACUGUUCUCAGAGAAAAGCCUUUGGUAAAUAACAGGAAACGUCCUCUGAGAAGGCGAUGUGAAUGCCAGAGAGCGCGGGAUGCACAUUUGCCUUUUAUGUUAAGCAGGCAGUAUUUAAACAAAAGGUAUAAAUAGAGUCAUUGCAAACAGACGAUGAGAAAUAAACUGAUGUAUCAGAUCGACUUCGGCCUUUUAUUAAUAAAACUGCUGGCUUAAGUGUAAUGUGAUGCUGUAAAUGCUCUAUCAGGAAUUUAAUUCAAGUAGAAAAUGCUCAAUCUUUGCAUUCAUUUUGUUAGAAUCGACUGAAAAUGCUAUAUCAGCACUGUCAAUCCAAAAGUAUUGGUGUUUAAAAACCUAUAUCGGUCAAGUUUAUGUCUCUCCUUCUCUGUCUAUCUCUCUCCCUUUGUGUGUGUGUGUGUGUGUGUGUGUGUGUGUGUGUGUGUGUGUGUGUGUGUGUGUGUGUGUGUGUGUUUUUGACGAGGUGGAGACAGGAGCCCUAACGCUGCAGGAUGGAGAAAGGUGAACAGGAAACAGAAGGUGCCCAUGGAGGAGGUAUAUGACAUCUGUCAGGAUCCAGGGUGGGUGGAGGAUUCAACGCCCCCCCUCCGCCGGCCGAGGGUCACCCAUCGCACCGCAGUCGCUGAAGUUGUCCCGACACCAUGACACUUCUUUGGCAAUGGUGGCCGCAAGCGGACAGCCUCAGACGUUCAAGACACACACAUAUUUUUGAGGUCCUGGAUGGAGGAAGGUCAGCAGACAUGGCAAGGUCGACAAACAAACAAACAAACAAACAGAAGGAAUUAAAAUAGAGAAAAACAGAGCAGAUGAAACAUGGCGGUGUGUUUUUAUCGCUGUAAGGCUGAUGGCAUGUAGCAGCCAUUACUCUCCGAUGUGUCCUCUGCCCCCCAUUGGCUGCAACAACGCCGCCUGACAGAGCUGCCAGUGUCACGUCAUCUCAUGGACGACAAGGGCCACUUCACACCAGGAUCGGUUUACUGUUUCUUACCACUCAGGUAGCUGUGUUCUCAAGACGGCAAAGGUCAUUCACACUUGAUUUUAUAAAAAUCAUUUUUCCUAAGCCAGCGUGAGUUCAAAUUAGAUCUUGUUGUUUUUCUCAUCUUUAUGGAGGGAAAAAGUAAAAGAAAAAUCCUCACAAAAAGAAUUCACAACAGCCUGUUUCAAGACCUCCGACUAAUUGCCAUCUUUGGUUUGGUAGUUUUUAUUAAGAAUAAUUUGAGAUAUUAUAAUAUAAUAUUGAUAAAUAUGGAUAAAAUAAGGCACUGCACACUUACUAGGACUAGUGCAAGUACUGAUUGAUAAAGCCAAGCUCUCUACACCUUCACCAGUGCAAACAACGUUAUCUUUUAUCAUUUUUCAUUUUCAUUUUUAAAUACUUGAUUGGACAAAAAUUAGCAGAGCCUUAUUUUCUCCAUAUUUAAUUGCAUUGCAGUCUUGCACCUUAGUAUUGUGUUCUGAUUGUGUUGAUCUUCUCAAAAGAUGCAGGGAUGUUGUCAUGGAUUAAGAUUUGAAAUGACAGCCUUGCUUAGAAUUUUAUUACCUUUCUGUACCAUUUCAUUUAUAUAAAGACACUUCUAUUUUUAAUUUUUUGCCAGUACUUAUUGUGUUUUAUCAGAAAUAUAACGUGUAGCAAGUAAAAAAGUCAUGUUGUUGGGUUGAAUGCAUUGAUAACCCCCACUUAUGACUGUGCAAGAAUAAUAUAGUUGUUUUAUUAUUUAGACUUCAUCCUAAAUAGCCAGCAGAGCCCCGUUUGUCAUGACUUUGAACACGUUUGGCUCAGGCUGCUGCAGGUGAAGCCCGGGCCUCGCCCCCAUCUGUAUGCAGAGUGUGCCUUUAAAAAAGCAUGUUUCUUUUGUUUAUUCUUUGCGUUGUCUUUUCCUGUCUGUGCAGAGUUUUGACAUUGGAGAUGACAGGUGUCUGUGGGGUGGAGGAGGAGGAGGAGGAGAUGCUGGCAUCAUCACUUCUUUUAUCUUUACAACAAUUUUCUGUUGUGGUCCGGUUCAAAUUCCCACAUCAGCUAGGAAAAUCUUUGAUAGUACUUUUGAAUAAGGCACUGAACCCCCGGCAGCUCCCACGGAACUACCCAGCAGCCACCAACAAACCACUGUGGACUUCCCUGGACGAAUGAAGUUUAAACACAUCACUCAUUUCUCUCAUGUCCCUCCACUCUCUUCUCAGUGUGCUGCAGCUCUCUGACCAAGCUGCAUCCUUCAUUCCUCAUUCUUCUUGAUAGAUUAGAGUUUAUUACUGCGAUCCCAGAUUUGUUGUCACUGUGUAUUUGGGUGGUAAUAUGUUUCCUGGCUCCUAUCCAAUUUGCUGGUGGCUGAUGGGCAGCUGAUUUCAGGGGAAGCAUGAGAAGAAAGAAGGGUAGCUGCUAACCGACAGAGGCCAACCGACUCUCCUCAGGUGAUAAUUGGCUGCUGAUGCAACAUCCAACCCCUCGUAAUUAAUCUCCGCGGUUUUGUGUGUGUGUGCAUCACAAACAACACAUGUUCGCCUCUUUAUACGUUAUGUAAUAGACAUUUUUUACAGUACAAAAUAAAGGAAGGCUCUGUUGGUAUUGAUGGGGGUGAGACCUAAAAUAAUAUACAAGUUUACUUCAUUGCUGAAAUGCAAAAUCUGACCUUCACAUUCAACAUUUUUUUCCACCUUUACUUUCACUAUAUUUUCUUGGGUAACAAUAUUAGUUUGCUCAUAUCAUUGACAGUGCCAGUAUAAGUCUUUCAUUACUGUAAGAAUCUAAGGCCAAAAAAAGUUUAAAGAAAGAUCACCAAGUGCCUGUGGUGCAAGACGUUGACGGGUUGUGAUGUUAGAAAAUCAGAAAAGAGAAUGCCAUAAUGUGUACAAGAGUCUGCCUCAUUUAUUAUUUGCCUAUAUUAGCACAUCUUGAGGUGCAUUAAUGCUUGAAUAUCAGCAGGUUGGUGUUGUCCACUCCUGAUAUGAUGGAGAUGCAGCUUGUUUGAUUACUUACUGUAAAAUUACUACAAUACUACACUUCAUCAUGGUAUUCCCUUUCCCUAGGAAUUACAUCUAUCCUGAACAAUUCCACACCUCACAAUACAUCUAAUGCUAAUGUUCAGUGCCAACAGGAAGUAAUGUCACUUUUAGUGAUGCGGAAAGUUAGGGCAUAACAUAACAUAAUCUGGUGUUUUGCAGAAUAUUCUUGUCUGUCAAGAGGGUGAAUUAUGCAUGGAAAUGUUUUUUAUUAUUAUAGUAUUUCAAUGAGAAGAGUUUCAGUGGAGAGUUAUAGAUUUAUUGUUUCUAACCAACCAAUUGAUUAGAUGACACUGUUUUGCAUCUCAUUUCCUGAUUAGUAUUAUUAUUAUUAUUAUUAUUAUCAUUAUAUUUUCCACCUGUCAAAUAUUUCCAUGUGUCUUUCUUCUCUGGACUCCUCUGGCAGUCACUGUGACAUCAGUGUAUGGGAUCCUCCUCAAAACUUAAAAACAAACAAUUAGUUUAUGUAAAUAACUGCAAAGAAAAGCCUACAAAGUUAAUUAGAAUCCAUUUUUGGAAAACAAUAUUACAGUUUAACGUUUCACAUAAUACACAUCAGGUAGUCCAUGUUAUUACAUUGCAGUUGGUGAUAAGCCGUGAAAAUAACCUGACAGAGUACAAGGCAGAGAUAAGAGGCAGAUAAAAUGAGCAUCUAUCUUACUGUGUUAAUUAAAGAUAAUCAGUCCUUAAAGACAUCCAACUCUUUAAAUUUAUUGAGUUCUGCACCUCAGAGGGAAAAAGACAAAGAACAGAGAGAUAUAAAGACAGAUAGAGACUAAAGCUGUUUCCAUCCAACUGUCAAACAAAUUUUAUGUAAACUUUAGAAAUAUCACCAAAAAUAAAGUGUUAAUUAUGUGUUUCUACUACGUUGAAGUAUCUGUAUACACUUCUUGAAUGUAGAACAGAGCUAUAACAAAAUUACACGCAGGAAACAUGCUGUAUCUCCAGGAUUGAUGAACAUUGAGCACGUUUUCUGAUAUAUUUGCUAAAAGGUAAUAGCCUACACAGUUAGUAGAGAAACUGUUGGCAUGUAUCAUUUCCAUUGGUAUCAACAAAAUCAACAAAAAACAACAAACAAAUUUCAUCCUUUUCUAAUACAAUAUAUAAUUUGCAUAAGAAGCAAUGGACAGACAAACAGACAAGGGAGAACUUCUUUUUAAGUGAAUGGUGUCAGUGCAUCAUCUAUAUCUUUAGAUAAACCACAACAGUUAACUAAAGGCCGGUCCGGGUGUCUUUCCUUUUUUUUUUCAGUGAUUCUGGUGGCGGGCAACAGUAGGAAGCUGGUUUCUUCGCCAGGCUUUGUUCUCUGUGACUCCGCUACGGUAGCUUUCAUUUGACUCCCAGUGUGACUUCCGUGUUAAUUAGGUAAAUGAAUACGUGUGUACAGACGGGGCCGCCCCACACUAAUAGCGACACCAGCACAAUCGCAACAAAAGGGCCCCACCAGCUAAGGCUAAGUUUGUGAUUAAAGGAAAGGCCUCUAUGGCGAGGUGUAACAAAACGGCAUACAGCAGGCUUUGAAGCUUAUUUAUGGCGUUUUAUCUAAUCCCUACCACCCGUGGCUAUGGAGGAGAUAUGGAUGUAUUAUUCAUGAUAAUGUAUGGUGGUGACUCUUAUGCAGAUUCAGAACAAAGGCAAACUUUCUUUUUGUGCCUCUAAACAGCCAAUUAUUUUUUUUUUUCUUAGACUGAUGCGGAACAGAUCAAAUGAUGAAAAAAAACUGUGUUUCUGACGUUUGGUGGACCAGUUUACUGUAUGUUCUUGUCGGUCUUGUUCGUCUCUGAGCCCUCAAGCUAUGGGCUUCCUUGGCAGAACUUCUGACUACAAAUCACAGUUUUAUUCCUCUCACCUAGGGGAUGCCAGAGAUCCUCCAUAGUCCUAGUAGUAAAAUUUGAACUCAGUCCAAAUCCACAUCAUGAACACACAGGUCAAAAAACUAAAGAGAGAUCCUUAAAGAAACAAAUCUAGCCAAAAACAUCUGAAAAUAAUUGGCAGUGUACCUUGCACUUGUGGGUGCUUCGUGUUGUUUGGUGGUAGGGUUUUUUUUUCUCUUUGGCCUGUUAUCCUCUUGAUUUACAAUGUGACAUUGAAAAUACAAUGUCGAUAGUUGAAUAUUUGUUUUACACAUGCAGCUUUCACCAGGAAUCUUUUUUGUGUCUGGGUCAGAGGGAGCAGGGGUCAAUAUUGUGGAAAAGGUUUUACCUACAAUUGACCCAAUUAGGCUGCAUCCAAACUACUAUUGGAUCUCCGUCCAGACGAGCUUUUCUGCUCAGUUUCAGAAGUAAUCUCCGACCAUACUAACACGCCUGAAACGCAUAUAACAUAACCACUCACGUACACUGGGCAUGCGCGUACAGGAACACGACAAAAAUAAUAAGGCAGGGAAAUGUGACUGCUCUUCACAAAAUCCCCCUGGAUAAUGCUGUUUUAGUAUUGUUGUGUCUUUCUAAAUAUAGACAGUAUUCCAUGAAUGUACAAACUCAAAUACUCCACAUUAUCACAACACAUACUCCGAGUUAGCGUUACACAUGUACUCUUUUACUUGGGUUAUUCUUUAAACUGCAUUUGAAUUGUAUUUGCUUUACAGCAGAAGGCUGAUGCUAAAUAACACCUGCAAAAUGGCUGAACACACUAGCAGCAGGCUAAGCUAAGUUACUAGCAAACGUUUAAACAUUGAUUCAUCAAAACGAAUCCAUUGUAGACAACAACGUCCAUGAAACAGUACUUGUAGUCACAACCUUGUACAUUCAAAGAAUGUUUCCCGUUUCUGUUGCUGUAGUCUGUGGAUUAGCAUUGUGGUAUAACUUUACCAUGUGUUUGCUAGAAGUU